Molecule: non-coding RNA, 98 nt
Filed under: Parabacteroides distasonis
Lineage: Bacteria; Pseudomonadati; Bacteroidota; Bacteroidia; Bacteroidales; Tannerellaceae
Also listed under: 1 other name
Description: TPP sequence
Rfam family: TPP riboswitch aptamer (THI element)
About the family: Vitamin B(1) in its active form thiamin pyrophosphate (TPP) is an essential coenzyme that is synthesised by coupling of pyrimidine and thiazole moieties in bacteria. The previously detected thiamin-regulatory element, thi box was extended, resulting in a new, highly conserved RNA secondary structure, the THI element, which is widely distributed in eubacteria and also occurs in some archaea. Analysis of operon structures identified a large number of new candidate thiamin-regulated genes, mostly transporters, in various prokaryotic organisms.
Source: RNAcentral
GCGUCGUCGAAGGGGUGCCAUACUAUAUGGGCUGAGAUCAUACCCUUACUACUUGAUGCGGGUAAUGCCGCCGUAAGAAAAACGAAUGUUAGAUGGAU